Small nucleolar RNA from Malania oleifera, 107 nucleotides. Lineage: Eukaryota; Viridiplantae; Streptophyta; Magnoliopsida; Santalales; Ximeniaceae. The record is from RefSeq and is a predicted model, not a curated record.
AACUCGUGAUGUGGACAAGUUCUUAGCAAUCCUUGAACCUCUCCCAGCAAGCCCGAAAGGUUUCAUCCCCCUUCUGCAUAAACUAAAUGAUCUGUUCCUACAAAAAU